AUGGACCAACACGAGACACACGUAUCUAAAGAAGUAAUCAUGUUCUGCAGAGAAAAGAAUAUUGAAAUUCUCUGCCUACCUGCCCACACCACGCACAAACUACAGCCCCUUGCACAUACUAUUGCGGUCUUCAACCCACUGAAGACUGCUUUCUCCACCAUGGCUUCCAGGAUGGGUCUGGUGCGAGGGGACAUUGUUGUGGGGAAGAAGCAGUUUUCAGAUCUCCUCAAACAUGUGUAUCCCACUGCUGUCACAGCCCAAAACAUUAAGGCCGGGUUUCGCAAGGCUGGCAUUUUUCCUCUGUCCAGGGCUGCUGUGGACACAACCCAGGUGGUGAGAGUGCUUCCAUCUGUAGAUGGAAGUGAUGCCACACAAUCCAGCGCUGCCGCCACUCCCUCAAUCACACCAUCCAUCGCUCCCACCACACCAUCCAUCACAUCACCUACUGACAUAUCAGUCAUAACUCCUUGCCCCACCUGUAAUAUUAAUAAAGUGGGUCACAAAAAUUACCUGGUGGCAGCAGGUGUAAUACCAGAGAGUCUGGCUAACGUUCUAAUGAGCCCAGCCCUGGAGAGGAAGGAGAAGGUGAGGCGUCGCAUUCCGCUGCCAGCCCGAGUCAUCACCAGCGAUGAGUAUUUUGACCUGCUGGUAGAGAAAGAAACAGAGGAGAAAGACAAGGAAGAAAAGAAGCGAAAGCGUAACAAAGAGAUGGCAAAGAAGAAGGAGGAAAAAAGACAAGCCCAGGAGGCCAAAAGGCAAAAAAAUCAGGAACCUCCUCCUACUGAAAAUGGAGAACACUGCGCUCUCUGCCAUAGAGUGGUCCCACCUGGCUCAGGAGAUGAGGCCAUUGAUGAAUGGGUCCGGUGCGACCUAUGCCAUUUGUGGUUCCACCUGGUGUGCGCUGAAGUGGAGGAAGUGCCAGACACUGACUGGCUUUGCCAUAAAUGUUGUCUGUCCACAUAAAAACACACAUUACACACACACAAUGUAAAUGGUGCACACAUACAAAAAAAAUUAACAUUCAUUUCUAGUUAUUGUAUUUUUUUAAAUAAGUUUAGUGUUAAAUGUAAAUAGUUGUAAACAAACAAACACACACACACACACGUAUCCUGAUAAUUUGUUGUGAAGUUUUCACAUUGAUUAAUCAUUAAAUAUUUUUAAUCAGUUCAAAUUGUUUGCCCUUCUUUGUCUUCAGAAAGAUAUGGUAACGUUAUUCACUUGCUUAACUCACAUGCCAUAAUCUAUAUCACGACACAAUCAGGCCUAGCUCGCAUGCUCCUCUAGCUUUUUAAAGCAGCAAAUAACUUAAAUUUUAAACAAAUAAAAAAGUUACUCACCUUUCAUAUUCAUUGAAAUUAUGUUUCUCCAGUUAAAAUAAAUAAAUAGCUCAAAGUCGAUCCGUUAAAUGUCCAUUUUCUUCCUGAAAAUAAAAGAAGGCGCUCUCUGUACGGAACAUCAUAAUAGCCUAUACGGAACACCGUUAACGCUUCUCAUCUUCCAUACACGUGCGGAGGAGGUACUUUUCCCCACUUUUCUCAAAAACUAUUGGUCCAAAAGACAUCACUCAAAGUGUGGACUGUGCAAUAGGUGUUCUGCCAGAGAAUGAUCACACAAACAUGCUUGUCUGGCUUUAAACAACGGAGGAGUGGUUGCUGGUGUGCGGUUAAGGGCGAAAAGUGUACGGAACAUGGUUAGUCUACGUUAAGUGUUGUUGAUUUAAUCUGUAUUAGUGCACUGCUGAAAACUUUACUUGUGCAUAACUUAAUGCAGAACGGUGUAACUAAUGCAUAGUUGUUUUAUUUAGAGGGGAGAAAGUGCUUCCAUAUAGAUCCUUUGUGUUUCCAGGGUGAGUGUAAAGCAUUCAAGUGAGUGUUCACAUUUAUUGAUUGUAAAAUUGUUUAAUAGCGUUUCACUAGAGUGAAAUGGUAUUAUGGGAUUAUGUUAAAGAUGGUCAAUCUGUUGAUGAGUUCAUUGAUGAGGUUCACUGUAAAAAUAGUCAGAAAAAUAUACAGCAAAACACCGUCAAAUUCCAACGGUAAUGGAGCGUAAAACCAAAAACUUCCUUUUACUGUAUUAAAUAGAUUGAAUAACCGUUAAUUGUGAGACUGGAUAAAACUUUGUAUUUUACUGUAAUAAAAUGUUGAAAUUAUAAAUAUUUUCAGUGAAAACAAAUAAAUAUGCAUACAUUUUACAAUUAAAUAUUGUAAUGUUGAAAAUGUCUGAAAACCUUAGAUUUUACGGUAUU
RNAcentral lists this long non-coding RNA (2245 nucleotides) under Carassius auratus (goldfish). Its description in RNAcentral is "lncRNA (ENSCARG00000041752.1)". The record is from RNAcentral. Lineage: Eukaryota; Metazoa; Chordata; Actinopteri; Cypriniformes; Cyprinidae.